CGGCGGACGGGUGAGUAAUGUAUGGGGAUCUGCCUGAUGGCGGGGGAUAACUACUGGAAACGGUAGCUAAUACCGCAUAAUGUCUGCGGACCAAAGCGGGGGACCUCCGGGCCUCGCGCCAUCAGAUGAACCCAUAUGGGAUUAGCUUGUAGGUAAGGUAACGGCUUACCUAGGCGACGAUCCCUAGCUGGUCUGAGAGGAUGACCAGCCACACUGGAACUGAGACACGGUCCAG
This 235-nucleotide ribosomal RNA is filed under the name uncultured bacterium. RNAcentral describes it as "partial 16S ribosomal RNA". It matches the Rfam family "Bacterial small subunit ribosomal RNA", at positions 96 to 334 of the family's 1533-position model. The record is from RNAcentral.